GACGAACGCUGGCGGCGUGCCUAAUACAUGCAAGUAGGACGCACAGUUUAUACCGUAGCUUGCUACACCAUAGACUGUGAGUUGCGAACGGGUGAGUAACGCGUAGGUAACCUGCCUGGUAGCGGGGGAUAACUAUUGGAAACGAUAGCUAAUACCGCAUAAUAUUAAUUAUUGCAUGAUAAUUAAUUGAAAGGUGCAAUUGCACCACUACCAGAUGGACCUGCGUUGUAUUAGCUAGUAGGUGAGGUAACGGCUCACCUAGGCGACGAUACAUAGCCGACCUGAGAGGGUGAUCGGCCACACUGGGACUGAGACACGGCCCAGACUCCUACGGGAGGCAGCAGUAGGGAAUCUUCGGCAAUGGACGAAAGUCUGACCGAGCAACGCCGCGUGAGUGAAGAAGGUUUUCGGAUCGUAAAGCUCUGUUGUAAGAGAAGAAUGGGUGUGAGAGUGGAAAGUUCACACUGUGACGGUAUCUUACCAGAAAGGGACGGCUAACUACGUG
Molecule: ribosomal RNA, 505 nt
Filed under: uncultured bacterium
Lineage: Bacteria
Description: partial 16S ribosomal RNA
Rfam family: Bacterial small subunit ribosomal RNA
Source: RNAcentral